This 344-nucleotide unclassified non-coding RNA is filed under the name soil metagenome. RNAcentral's name for it is "partial contains 5.8S ribosomal RNA, internal transcribed spacer 2, and large subunit ribosomal RNA". The stretch from base 1 to 120 matches the Rfam family "5.8S ribosomal RNA", at positions 35 to 154 of the family's 154-position model. The record is from RNAcentral.
GAUGAAGAACGUAGCGAAAUGCGAUAAGUAAUGUGAAUUGCAGAAUUCAGUGAAUCAUCGAGUCUUUGAACGCACAUUGCGCCCUCUGGUAUUCCGGAGGGCAUGCCUGUCCGAGCGUCAUUGCUGCCCUCAAGCACGGCUUGUGUGUUGGGCCCCGCCCCCCGAUCCCGGGGGGCGGGCCCGAAAGGCAGCGGCGGCACCGCGUCCGGUCCUCGAGCGUAUGGGGCUUUGUCACCCGCUCUGUAGGCCCGGCCGGCGCCUGCCGAUCAACCAAACUUUUUUCCAGGUUGACCUCGGAUCAGGUAGGGAUACCCGCUGAACUUAAGCAUAUCAAUAGCGGAGGA